RNAcentral lists this ribosomal RNA (301 nucleotides) under uncultured bacterium. RNAcentral's name for it is "partial 16S ribosomal RNA". It matches the Rfam family "Bacterial small subunit ribosomal RNA", at positions 509 to 807 of the family's 1533-position model. The record is from RNAcentral.
CAGUAGCCGCGGGAAAACCGAGGGUGCAAGCGUUAAUCGGAAUUACUGGGCGUAAAGCGCGCGUAGGUGGUUUGUUAAGUUGGAUGUGAAAUCCCCGGGCUCAACCUGGGAACUGCAUCCAAAACUGGCAGGCUAGAGUAGGGCAGAGGGUGGUGGAAUUUCCUGUGUAGCGGUGAAAUGCGUAGAUAUAGGAAGGAACACCAGUGGCGAAGGCGACCACCUGGGCUCAUACUGACACUGAGGUGCGAAAGCGUGGGGAGCAAACAGGAUUAGAUACCCCAGUAGUCCCUGUCUCUUAUAC